GACGAACGCUGGCGGCGUGCUUAACACAUGCAAGUCGAACGAAGAGCGACGGAAUCUUGCUUCUAUCAAUCUUAGUGGCGCACGGGUGAGUAACGCGUAAUCAACCUGCCCUUCAGAGGGGGACAACAGUUGGAAACGACUGCUAAUACCUCAUACUAUCUAACCUCGGCAUCGAGGAUAGAUUAAAGGUGGCCUCUACAUGUAAGCUCUCACUGAAGUUGUUGAUUGCGUCUGAUUAUCUAGUUGGUGGGGGAACGUCCCACAAAUGCGAAGAUCAGUAGACGGUCUGAGAGGAUGAACGGCAAAAUUGGGAAUGGGAAAAGGCCCAGAAUACUAAGGGAGGCAGCAGUGGGGAAACUUCCGAAAUGGAGGAAAGUCUGACGGAGCAAAGCCGAGGGAGGGAUGAAGGCCGUCGGGUUGGAAAGAUCGGUUAAUCGGGAAGAAAGGCCUUCUUGCGAAUAGUGAGAAGGAUUGACGGUACCGGAAGAGAAAGCAACGGCUAACUACGUG
RNAcentral lists this ribosomal RNA (510 nucleotides) under uncultured bacterium. Its description in RNAcentral is "partial 16S ribosomal RNA". It matches the Rfam family "Bacterial small subunit ribosomal RNA", at positions 28 to 507 of the family's 1533-position model. The record is from RNAcentral.